Long non-coding RNA from Lepisosteus oculatus (spotted gar), 585 nucleotides. RefSeq lists it as uncharacterized. The record is from RefSeq and is a predicted model, not a curated record. NCBI's taxonomy places the organism in Eukaryota, Metazoa, Chordata, Actinopteri, Semionotiformes, Lepisosteidae.
UGUCCAGAGCCUUCCCCCCGUCUUCCUGCUUUCCUCUGUGGAUAACACACUGGAGGACGGCCAGUCCUGCGGACGAGCAAAAAGAGUGAGCAGAUGUAGCGUCUUGUCUUGACUCUAGUAUGGAACACUGUGGUGGUGGGACUGGUCAGCACAGCACUCAGGCUCAUAGAAAACGAAAACAGAAAAGAGGAGAGAGCAACCUGUUUGUGACGUUGGUCCUGGAGAGUCCAUGGAAGAUGCCACGGCAGAGGCCGCCAACAUAGCCCCAUCCCAUCGGAGUGGAGUCAGAACACAAAUGUCCCAGAUCAUUUUCAGAGUGUUUCAGAGUGUUUACAAUCACAACAUGGGGAGGGACCAUAGGUCUUCUUCAGGGAUUUUAACAGGUAGAAGUUACCUCUUUUUGUCAGGUCUCUGUACUUAGUACAGAUAGUAAAGUUUGACGAGCAAGCUUGGGAUCGUGUAACGUAAUGAGCACAGCAAAGACGUAAUUGUGAACAUCACGGUCUAUUAUAUUUUAUUUUUUACUCCCAAAAUUCCAUUCUGUCCAUAUAGUCUGUGGUUGAGUGUGCCAGUUAAACCCCCUGA